GAUGAACGCUGGCGGCGUGCCUAAUACAUGCAAGUCGAGCGAACAGACGAGGAGCUUGCUCCUCUGACGUUAGCGGCGGACGGGUGAGUAACACGUGGAUAACCUACCUAUAAGACUGGGAUAACUUCGGGAAACCGGAGCUAAUACCGGAUAAUAUAUUGAACCGCAUGGUUCAAUAGUGAAAGACGGUUUUGCUGUCACUUAUAGGUGGAUCCGCGCCGCAUUAGCUAGCUGGUAAGGUAACGGCUUACCAAGGCAACGAUGCGUAGCCGACCUGAGAGGGUGAUCGGCCACACUGGAACUGAGACACGGUCCAGACUCCUACGGGAGGCAGCAGUAGGGAAUCUUCCGCAAUGGGCGAAAGCCUGACGGAGCAACGCCGCGUGAGUGAUGAAGGUCUUCGGAUCGUAAAACUCUGUUAUUAGGGAAGAACAAAUGUGUAAGUAACUAUGCACGUCUUGACGGUACCUAAUCAGAAAGCCACGGCUAACUACGUG
Molecule: ribosomal RNA, 497 nt
Filed under: uncultured bacterium
Lineage: Bacteria
Description: partial 16S ribosomal RNA
Rfam family: Bacterial small subunit ribosomal RNA
Source: RNAcentral